Molecule: ribosomal RNA, 645 nt
Filed under: uncultured fungus
Lineage: Eukaryota; Fungi
Description: eukaryotic LSU rRNA
Rfam family: 5.8S ribosomal RNA (bases 232-385)
Source: RNAcentral
GCUGUCGCUGGCUCAAACGAAGCAUGUGCACGUCUUUUUGCUGCUUGCUUUCAUUCUCUUUUCCACCUGUGCACUCUUUGUAGACACUCGGGGAUGGGGAGAGAGGUCAAAAACCUCUCUCUUGAUAUUGAAAAAUAUAGUCCCUGGGUGUUUAUGUAUUUUUCAUACACAACUUUGAAUGUCUAUAGAAUGAAAUUAUAGGCUUUUAUCAGCCUUUAAAUGAUGAAAUACAACUUUCAACAACGGAUCUCUUGGCUCUCGCAUCGAUGAAGAACGCAGCGAAAUGCGAUAAGUAAUGUGAAUUGCAGAAUUCAGUGAAUCAUCGAAUCUUUGAACGCAUCUUGCGCUCCUUGGUAUUCCGAGGAGCAUGCCUGUUUGAGUGUCAUUAAAUAUCUCAAAAAAGCCCUUUUGCUUUGCAUAGGGUUUUUUUGGACAUUGGGAGUUGCUGGCUACUGUUAAAGUGGUUGGCUCUUCUGAAAUGUAUUAGUUGAGGAGCUUUGCACUCUAUUGGUGUGAUAGACUAUCUAUGCCAUGAGCUGCUUUUUAAUGAUCCUCUGCCUUCUAACUGUCUUUAUCAGACAAUAUGAUAAACUUGACCUCAAAUCAGGUAGGACUACCCGCUGAACUUAAGCAUAUCAAUAAGCG